Molecule: ribosomal RNA, 442 nt
Filed under: uncultured bacterium
Lineage: Bacteria
Description: bacterial SSU rRNA
Rfam family: Bacterial small subunit ribosomal RNA
Source: RNAcentral
CCUACGGGGCGCAGCAGUGGGGAAUUCUCCGCAAAGGGCGAAAGCCUGGCGGAGCAAUGCCGCGUGGAGGUAGAAGGCCCACGGGUCGUGAACUUCUUUUCCCGGAGAAGAAGCAACGACGGUAUCUGGGGAAUGAGCAUCGGCUAACUCUGUGCCAGCAGCCGCGGUAAUACAGAGGAUGCAAGCGUUAUCCGGAAUGAUUGGGCGUAAAGCGUCUGUAGGUGGCUUUUUAAGUCCGCCGUCAAAUCCCAGGGCUCAACCCUGGACAGGCGGUGGAAACUACCAAGCUGGAGUACGGUAGGGGCAGAGUGAAUUUCCGGUGGAGCGGUGAAAUGCGUAGAGAUCGGGAAGAACACCAACGGCGAAAGCACUCUGCUGGGCCGACACUGACACUGAGAGACGAAAGCUAGGGGAGCGAAUGGGAUUAGAUACCCCAGUAGUC